Molecule: ribosomal RNA, 468 nt
Filed under: uncultured bacterium
Lineage: Bacteria
Description: partial 16S ribosomal RNA
Rfam family: Bacterial small subunit ribosomal RNA
Source: RNAcentral
GACGAACGCUGGCGGCGUGCUUAACACAUGCAAGUCGAACGGAAAGGCCCUGCUUUUGUGUGGUUCUCGAGUGGCGAACGGGUGAGUAACACGUGAGUAACCUGCCCUUGACUUUGGGAUAACUUCAGGAAACUGGGGCUAAUACCGGAUAGGAGCUCCUGCUGCAUGGGGGGGGUUGGAAAGUUUCGGCGGUUGUGGAUGGACUCGAGGCUUAUCAGCUUGUUGGUGGGGUAGUGGCUUACCAAGGCUUUGACGGGUAGCCGGCCUGAGAGGGUGACCGGCCACAUUGGGCCUGAGAUACGGCCCAGACUCCUACGGGAGGCAGUAGUGGGGAAUCUUGCGCAAUGGGCGGAAGCCUGAUGCAGAAACGCCGCGUGCGGGAUGCCGGCCUUCGGGUUGUAAACCGCUUUCGCCUGUGACGAAGAGUGAGUGACGGUAAUGGGUCAAGAAGCACCGGCUAACUACGUG